RNAcentral lists this ribosomal RNA (1272 nucleotides) under Staphylococcus pseudintermedius. RNAcentral's name for it is "partial 23S ribosomal RNA". It matches the Rfam family "Bacterial large subunit ribosomal RNA", at positions 1654 to 2925 of the family's 2925-position model. The record is from RNAcentral. Lineage: Bacteria; Bacillati; Bacillota; Bacilli; Caryophanales; Staphylococcaceae.
CCGACACAGGUAGUCAAGAUGAGAAUUCUAAGGUGAGCGAGCGAACUCUCGUUAAGGAACUCGGCAAAAUGACCCCGUAACUUCGGGAGAAGGGGUGCUCUUUGAGGUUCACGCUUCGAAGAGCCGCAGUGAAUAGGCCCAAGCGACUGUUUAUCAAAAACACAGGUCUCUGCUAAACCGUAAGGUGACGUAUAGGGGCUGACGCCUGCCCGGUGCUGGAAGGUUAAGAGGAGUGGUUAGCGCAAGCGAAGCUACGAAUCGAAGCCCCAGUAAACGGCGGCCGUAACUAUAACGGUCCUAAGGUAGCGAAAUUCCUUGUCGGGUAAGUUCCGACCCGCACGAAAGGCGUAACGAUUUGGGCACUGUCUCAACGAGAGACUCGGUGAAAUCAUAGUACCGGUGAAGAUGCCGGUUACCCGCGACAGGACGGAAAGACCCCGUGGAGCUUUACUGUAGCCUGAUAUUGAAAUUCGGUACAGUUUGUACAGGAUAGGUAGGAGCCUUAGAAGCGUGAGCGCUAGCUUACGUGGAGGCAUUGGUGGGAUACUACCCUAAUUGUAUUGGAUUUCUAACCCGCAGCACUUAUCGUGCUGGGAGACAGUGUCAGGCGGGCAGUUUGACUGGGGCGGUCGCCUCCUAAAGAGUAACGGAGGCGCUCAAAGGUUCCCUCAGAAUGGUUGGAAAUCAUUCAUAGAGUGUAAAGGCAUAAGGGAGCUUGACUGCGAGACCUACAAGUCGAGCAGGGUCGAAAGACGGACUUAGUGAUCCGGUGGUUCCGCAUGGAAGGGCCAUCGCUCAACGGAUAAAAGCUACCCCGGGGAUAACAGGCUUAUCUCCCCCAAGAGUUCACAUCGACGGGGAGGUUUGGCACCUCGAUGUCGGCUCAUCGCAUCCUGGGGCUGUAGUCGGUCCCAAGGGUUGGGCUGUUCGCCCAUUAAAGCGGUACGCGAGCUGGGUUCAGAACGUCGUGAGACAGUUCGGUCCCUAUCCGUCGUGGGCGUAGGAAAUUUGAGAGGAGCUGUCCUUAGUACGAGAGGACCGGGAUGGACAUACCUCUGGUGUACCAGUUGUCGUGCCAACGGCAUAGCUGGGUAGCUAUGUAUGGACGGGAUAAGUGCUGAAAGCAUCUAAGCAUGAAGCCCCCCUCGAGAUGAGAUUUCCCAACUUCGGUUAUAAGAUCCCUCAAAGAUGAUGAGGUGAAUAGGUUCGAGGUGGAAGCGUAGCGAUACGUGGAGCUGACGAAUACUAAUCGAUCGAAGACUUAAUCAAUAU